RNAcentral lists this ribosomal RNA (505 nucleotides) under uncultured bacterium. RNAcentral's name for it is "bacterial SSU rRNA". It matches the Rfam family "Bacterial small subunit ribosomal RNA", at positions 40 to 537 of the family's 1533-position model. The record is from RNAcentral.
CGGCAUGCUUUACACAUGCAAGUCGAACGGCAGCACGGGUGCUUGCACCGUGGUGGCGAGUGGCGGACGGGUGAGUAAUGCAUCGGAACGUGUCCUAAAGUGGGGGAUAACGCAUCGAAAGAUGUGCUAAUACCGCAUAUUCUCUGAGGAGGAAAGUAGGGGAUCGAAAGACCUUAUGCUUUUGGAGCGGCCGAUGUCUGAUUAGCUAGUUGGUAGGGUAAUGGCUUACCAAGGCGACGAUCAGUAGUUGGUCUGAGAGGACGACCAGCCACACUGGGACUGAGACACGGCCCAGACUCCUACGGGAGGCAGCAGUGGGGAAUUUUGGACAAUGGGCGCAAGCCUGAUCCAGCAAUGCCGCGUGAGUGAAGAAGGCCUUCGGGUUGUAAAGCUCUUUCAGUUGAAAAGAAAAAGCCGUGACUAAUAAUCAUGGUUCAUGACGGUAUCAACAGAAGAAGCACCGGCUAACUACGUGCCAGCAGCCGCGGUAAUACGUAGGGUGCAA